This 500-nucleotide long non-coding RNA is filed under the name Hordeum vulgare. RNAcentral's name for it is "long non-coding RNA (HVUL_LNC003650)". Lineage: Eukaryota; Viridiplantae; Streptophyta; Magnoliopsida; Poales; Poaceae. The record is from RNAcentral.
CAUCAAUUUCUAUGCUAGGUUUGAAGCUUUUGUCACUCUAGUCUGCCAAUACAUAGUCCUAUCAACAUACAACUAACCCUAUGGUGUGAUCCACGCGCGCGGUCAUAUGAUGGGCACCAAAGGACAGAAACAUAACCACAAGCAAAUUUAACCAAUCAUAACAAUUCAUCAAUCACCGAUAUGACAACGAUAAUCUACUUAGACAUCAUAGGAUAGCAACACAUCAUUGGAUAAUAAUAUGUAGCAUAAAGCACCAUGUUCAAGUAGAGGGUACAGCGGGUUGCGGGAGAGUGAACCGCUGAAUAUAUAUGGGGGAAGAUGAUGGAGAUGUUGGUGAAGAUGACGGAGGUGUUGGUGUAGAUCGCCGUCACACGAUGAUUUCCCGGGCGGCGUUCCGGCGCCACUCGGAGAGAGGGGAGAGAGCCCCUCUCCUUCUUCUUUUUCCUUGACCUCCUCCCUAGAUAGGAGAAAGGUUUCCCCUCUGGUCCAUGGUCUCUCUG